Non-coding RNA from Momordica charantia (bitter melon), 371 nucleotides. The record is from RefSeq and is a predicted model, not a curated record. NCBI's taxonomy places the organism in Eukaryota, Viridiplantae, Streptophyta, Magnoliopsida, Cucurbitales, Cucurbitaceae.
UGGUGAUUAGUAUCACAUUUGGGAUCAUCAACAUCAUCACAGCCAUGGAAGGCAGUCCUAUUUCCUCCAUCCAACCUGAAGGAGGAGUACCAGAACUGACUUCAGUCGGAGGUAUUCCAAAAAUAGUGUAUAUGAUGCCCUUUUCGCAUCAAUAAUURUGGCUAUAUGUUUUUUUAUAUGGUUGUUUUUUAAGAUUGUACAGCUAAGGAAGGAUUCUAGGCAUCACAUUGUGGAUGCAAACAAUAAUCCAUAAAAUAAAAUAGUCCUUCAUAUGAAGCAGUAAUUAGGAAGAACUUAAAUUUCCUUCCUUUAUCCUCCAAUUUGUUAUAAAGUACUAAAUUGUUGAGAUAAUAAUAUAUUUCUUUAAACUU